This 496-nucleotide ribosomal RNA is filed under the name uncultured bacterium. RNAcentral describes it as "partial 16S ribosomal RNA". It matches the Rfam family "Bacterial small subunit ribosomal RNA", at positions 28 to 506 of the family's 1533-position model. The record is from RNAcentral.
GAUGAACGCUGGCGGCGUGCCUAAUACAUGCAAGUCGAGCGAACAGAUAAGGAGCUUGCUCCUUUGACGUUAGCGGCGGACGGGUGAGUAACACGUGGGUAGCCUACCUAUAAGACUGGGAUAACUUCGGGAAACCGGAGCUAAUACCGGAUAACAUUUGGAACCGCAUGGUUCUAAAGUGAAAGAUGGUUUUGCUAUCACUUAUAGAUGGACCCGCGCCGUAUUAGCUAGUUGGUAAGGUAACGGCUUACCAAGGCAACGAUACGUAGCCGACCUGAGAGGGUGAUCGGCCACACUGGAACUGAGACACGGUCCAGACUCCUACGGGAGGCAGCAGUAGGGAAUCUUCCGCAAUGGGCGAAAGCCUGACGGAGCAACGCCGCGUGAGUGAUGAAGGGUUUCGGCUCGUAAAACUCUGUUAUUAGGGAAGAACAAAUGUGUAAGUAACUGUGCACGUCUGGACGGUACCUAAUCAGAAAGCCACGGCGAACUACGU